Molecule: long non-coding RNA, 200 nt
Filed under: Elaeis guineensis (African oil palm)
Lineage: Eukaryota; Viridiplantae; Streptophyta; Magnoliopsida; Arecales; Arecaceae
Description: long non-coding RNA (EGUI_LNC016177)
Source: RNAcentral
AUCCUCUCUCAAACCCUGAUUGUCCCAUGCUGGUUAUUGCACCAAGUAAACCUGGGCCUAGUGUAGCCAAGGUCAAUCAAGCCCAAGUCUUCGAUAAACUCUAUGAACUUUUUGAAGUCAAUAUUAUCCACGUAUUAGCUCCCACCCAUCUUCUUAUGGAUCCCAACUAUACAGUUAAAGUCUCCAGCGAUAAGAGAAGG